GUGGUCCUAGGCAGAGCUGAUGACCCAGGAGCCGCGCGCAGGUUUUAUUAGCCUGGAAUCAACUGGGGCGUGAUGAAUGGAGGCGAAGUAACCGCCGUGAAACCGGAAUCGUCCGACUCACGCCAUUAAUUAGCAACUAAUUUCAGAGCUGUCUCGGAUGGUUGAUGUCCGGAAAGCCACGUGCCAAUUGACCAGCGGUGGCAAGAUUAGAAAGAUUUAGAUAAUCCAGGGCAGAGCCUGGGUAUGUGAUCGCUGACACAGCUGUGGUCUGCAAGAGAAAAGCCAGUCGCCUACAAAGUCAAACCAGGCUGUCACUCAUCACGGAAAUCCAGUUGCUCACCCUGACACUUGCAAUAAAUCAGAGAAAUGGCUACAUAAACACUUGGGAACACUGAAGCCUUUCUGAGAAGGCACCUGCCUUUCCUUCCAUGUAUCUACACAGGAGCCUUUAAACCCAAGCAACUUCCCUUGUAAACCAGACAAAGUCCAAGAAAGAAAAGGAAGGAAGGAAGGAAGGAAGGAAAGGAAGAGAAAAGAAGGAAGAAAGGAAGGAAGAGAAAGGAAGAAAAUAAGGAAGGAAGUCGGGAAGUCAGGUUAGGCAUGCUAGUGCACACUUUUAAUCUCAGCACUCAGGAGGCAGAAGCAGGUGGAUCAUUGUCCAUUUAAGGCCAGCCUGGUGUACAUAGGAAGUUCCUGGUCAGCUGGGGUUUCAUAGUGAGCCCUGUCUUGAAAUACAGUAAAUAUAUGUCAGUGAUCUAAAUUUCUGCCGUCUUAAGCUGGAGAAAGAAGAGCUGCCAUAAAGGACUUGGAGAUAAUCUCCCAUUAUUAGUGAAAUACUGCGUUUUCUUCCAUAAGAUCUGGACAAGAGGCCCUUUUUCAUGACCCCCCCCCAAAAAAAAACCCUGAAAUUCAACCAACUAACCAACCAACCAAACAAACAAAGACUAUGUCUGUAACAUUGUAUCUACAGUCACAGUAACCCCUUCCUGCCCAGCUAAGGGAUUUGUUUGUUCAUUUGUUCUUUGUUUGCUUCUCAUUGAGGAAGUAAGCUCUUUUGUU
RNAcentral lists this long non-coding RNA (1059 nucleotides) under Rattus norvegicus (Norway rat). RNAcentral's name for it is "long non-coding RNA NONRATT033325". The record is from RNAcentral. Lineage: Eukaryota; Metazoa; Chordata; Mammalia; Rodentia; Muridae.